RNAcentral lists this ribosomal RNA (550 nucleotides) under uncultured bacterium. Its description in RNAcentral is "bacterial SSU rRNA". It matches the Rfam family "Bacterial small subunit ribosomal RNA", at positions 355 to 895 of the family's 1533-position model. The record is from RNAcentral.
UAGGGAAUCANUCGGCAAUGGGGGCAACCCUGACCGAGCAACGCCGCGUGAGUGAAGAAGGUUUUCGGAUCGUAAAGCUCUGUUGUAAGUCAAGAACGAGUGUGAGAGUGGAAAGUUCACACUGUGACGGUAGCUUACCAGAAAGGGACGGCUAACUACGUGCCAGCAGCCGCGGUAAUACGUAGGUCCNGAGCGUUGUCCGGAUUUAUUGGGCGUAAAGCGAGCGCAGGCGGUUUGAUAAGUCUGAAGUUAAAGGCUGUGGCUCAACCAUAGUUCGCUUUGGAAACUGUCAAACUUGAGUGCAGAAGGGGAGAGUGGAAUUCCAUGUGUAGCGGUGAAAUGCGUAGAUAUAUGGAGGAACACCGGUGGCGAAAGCGGCUCUCUGGUCUGUAACUGACGCUGAGGCUCGAAAGCGUGGGGAGCGAACAGGAUUAGAUACCCUGGUAGUCCACGCCGUAAACGAUGAGUGCUAGGUGUUGGAUCCUUUCCGGGAUUCAGUGCCGCAGCUAACGCAUUAAGCACUCCGCCUGGGGAGUACGACCGCAAGGUU